Molecule: ribosomal RNA, 1331 nt
Filed under: Bacillus sp. (in: firmicutes)
Lineage: Bacteria; Bacillati; Bacillota; Bacilli; Caryophanales; Bacillaceae
Description: bacterial SSU rRNA
Rfam family: Bacterial small subunit ribosomal RNA
Source: RNAcentral
CGGCGGACGGGUGAGUAACACGUGGGCAACCUGCCUGUAAGACUGGGAUAACUUCGGGAAACCGGAGCUAAUACCGGAUAAUCCUUUUCUACUCAUGUGGAAAAGCUGAAAGAUGGCUUCGGCUAUCACUUACAGAUGGGCCCGCGGCGCAUUAGCUAGUUGGUGAGGUAACGGCUCACCAAGGCGACGAUGCGUAGCCGACCUGAGAGGGUGAUCGGCCACACUGGGACUGAGACACGGCCCAGACUCCUACGGGAGGCAGCAGUAGGGAAUCUUCCGCAAUGGACGAAAGUCUGACGGAGCAACGCCGCGUGAGUGAUGAAGGUUUUCGGAUCGUAAAACUCUGUUGUUAGGGAAGAACAAGUACCGUUCGAAUAGGGCGGUACCUUGACGGUACCUAACCAGAAAGCCACGGCUAACUACGUGCCAGCAGCCGCGGUAAUACGUAGGUGGCAAGCGUUGUCCGGAAUUAUUGGGCGUAAAGCGCGCGCAGGUGGUUUCUUAAGUCUGAUGUGAAAGCCCCCGGCUCAACCGGGGAGGGUCAUUGGAAACUGGGAGACUUGAGUGCAGAAGAGGAAAGUGGAAUUCCAAGUGUAGCGGUGAAAUGCGUAGAGAUUUGGAGGAACACCAGUGGCGAAGGCGACUUUCUGGUCUGUAACUGACACUGAGGCGCGAAAGCGUGGGGAGCGAACAGGAUUAGAUACCCUGGUAGUCCACGCCGUAAACGAUGAGUGCUAAGUGUUAGAGGGUUUCCGCCCUUUAGUGCUGCAGCAAACGCAUUAAGCACUCCGCCUGGGGAGUACGGCCGCAAGGCUGAAACUCAAAGGAAUUGACGGGGGCCCGCACAAGCGGUGGAGCAUGUGGUUUAAUUCGAAGCAACGCGAAGAACCUUACCAGGUCUUGACAUCCUCUGACAAUCCUAGAGAUAGGACGUUCCCCUUCGGGGGACAGAGUGACAGGUGGUGCAUGGUUGUCGUCAGCUCGUGUCGUGAGAUGUUGGGUUAAGUCCCGCAACGAGCGCAACCCUUGAUCUUAGUUGCCAGCAUUCAGUUGGGCACUCUAAGGUGACUGCCGGUGACAAACCGGAGGAAGGUGGGGAUGACGUCAAAUCAUCAUGCCCCUUAUGACCUGGGCUACACACGUGCUACAAUGGAUGGUACAAAGGGCUGCAAGACCGCGAGGUUUAGCCAAUCCCAUAAAACCAUUCUCAGUUCGGAUUGCAGGCUGCAACUCGCCUGCAUGAAGCCGGAAUCGCUAGUAAUCGCGGAUCAGCAUGCCGCGGUGAAUACGUUCCCGGGCCUUGUACACACCGCCCGUCACACCACGAGAGU